GAUGAACGCUGGCGGCGUGCCUAAUACAUGCAAGUCGAGCGAACAGAUGAGGAGCUUUCUCCUCUUACUUUAUCGGCGGACGUGUGAGUAACACGUGGAUAACCUACCUAUAAGACUGGGAUAACUUCGGGAAACCGGAGCUAAUACCGGAUAAUAUAUUGAACCGCAUGGUUCAAUAGUGAAAGACGGUUUUGCCGUCACUUAUUGAAUGAUCCGCGCCUCAUUAGCUAGUUGGUAAGGUAACGGCUUACCAAGGCAACGAUGCGUAGCCGACCUAAAUGGGUGACCGGCCACCCUGUCACUGAGCAACGGUCCAGACUCAGAGGGAAGGCACCCGUAGGGAAUCUUCCGAAAUGGGCGAAAGCCUGACGGAGCCACACAGGGUGAAUGAUGAAGGUCUUCGGCUCGUAAAACUCUGUUAUUAGGGAAGAACAAAUGUGUAAGUAACUAUGCACGUCUUGACGGUACAUAAUCAGAAAGCCACGGCUAACUACGUG
Molecule: ribosomal RNA, 497 nt
Filed under: uncultured bacterium
Lineage: Bacteria
Description: partial 16S ribosomal RNA
Rfam family: Bacterial small subunit ribosomal RNA
Source: RNAcentral